CGAGGUGACCAGACGAUCGCGGGCCGCAAGGCGUGAGGAAAGUCCGAGCACCACAGGGCAGGGUGCCAGCUAACGGCUGGUGGAGGCGACUCCAAGGAGAGUGCAACAGAGAUAUACCGCCCCGGUUUGACCGGAGCAAGGGUGGAAAGGCGAGGUAAGAGCUCACCCACGGCUUGGCGACUUGUCCGUGAUGUAAACCCCACCUGGUGCAAGAUGCGUAUGGGAGCAGAUGCGGUUGCCCGCCGCGCUCCCGGCAUCGCUUGAGUCUGCGCGGUGACGCCAGACCUGGAUAGAUGAUCGUCCAAUACAGAACUCGGCUUAUGGGCACGCUCGCACA
This 337-nucleotide RNase P RNA is filed under the name Clostridiales bacterium. RNAcentral describes it as "RNase P RNA component class A". It matches the Rfam family "Bacterial RNase P class A". From Rfam's summary of the family: Ribonuclease P (RNase P) is a ubiquitous endoribonuclease, found in archaea, bacteria and eukarya as well as chloroplasts and mitochondria. Its best characterised activity is the generation of mature 5'-ends of tRNAs by cleaving the 5'-leader elements of precursor-tRNAs. Cellular RNase Ps are ribonucleoproteins. Lineage: Bacteria; Bacillati; Bacillota; Clostridia; Eubacteriales. The record is from RNAcentral.